GUUUGAGUACUGUAGAGGGGGGGUAGAAUUUCAGGUGUAGCGGUGAAAUGCGAAGAGAUCUGAAGGAAUACCGGUGGCGAAGGCGGGCCCCCUGGACAGAUACUGACACUCAGAUGCGAAAAGCGUGGGGAGCAAACAGGAUUAGAUACCCCUGGUAGUCCACGCCGUAAACGAUGUAUACUUGGAGGUUGUGGCCUUGAACCGUGGCUUUCGGAGCUAACGCGUUAAGUAGACCGCCUGGGGAGUACGGUCGCAAGAUUAAAACUCAAAUGAAUUGACGGGGGCCCGCACAAGCGGUGGAGCAUGUGGUUUAAUUCGAUGCAACGCGAAGAACCUUACCUACUCUUGACAUCCAGAGAACUUUCCAGAGAUGGAUUGGUGCCUUCGGGAACUUUGAGACAGGUGCUGCAUGGCUGUCGUCAGCUCGUGUUGUGAAAUGUUGGGUUAAGUCCCGCAACGAGCGCAACCCUUAUCCUUGUUUGCCAGCGAGUAAUGUCGGGAACUCCAGGGAGACUGCCGGUGAUAAACCGGAGGAAGGUGGGGACGACGUCAAGUCAUCAUGGCCCUUACGAGUAGGGCUACACACGUGCUACAAUGGCGCAUACAGAGGGCAGCCAACUUGCGAAAGUGAGCGAAUCCCAAAAAGUGCGUCGUAGUCCGGAUUGGAGUAUGCAACUCGACUCCAUGAAGUCGGAAUCGCUAGUAAUCGUGGAUCAGAAUGCCACGGUGAAUACGUUCCCGGGCCUUGUACACACCGCCCGUCACACCAUGGGAGUGGGCUGCAAAAGAAGUAAGGUAGU
Molecule: ribosomal RNA, 800 nt
Filed under: Vibrio algoinfesta
Lineage: Bacteria; Pseudomonadati; Pseudomonadota; Gammaproteobacteria; Vibrionales; Vibrionaceae
Description: bacterial SSU rRNA
Rfam family: Bacterial small subunit ribosomal RNA
Source: RNAcentral